AGCAUAUUUAAAUAUUGUUAUUGUACUGUUUCUGUAUAUGUUUGAAGAUUAUACAUUUUUAAAAAGUAUGUACUUAUCAGACACCACUUAAUCCUCUGCUCUUUUCUUUCUAUUUCUCCACUGUGAUUUUCUUAGGAAGAUGAAACACUGAAUUAGGAAAUCUGGGAAACUGCAGACACAUUUUCUAACAUGUUCAAAUCAGGAAAAAAAAGCAUUUAUCAUCAUGGGCUACAUCUCCAUAAGGCAUCUCAGGGUUACACAACCCAUAGAAAAAAACGGUUUACAUCUGCCUUUGGCUCAUUUUUCUCCACAUGCAUGAUUUACCCCAUAAAGUGCUGUGCUGUGCUCUGGGAUCCUUCAGAAGAAAGCACUGAUGUGACUCAUCUCCAUCAUGUGGAUGUCCUAGCUCUGCUGCUGCUGCCACCACUCCCGCCUUAUUGCAGCACAAAUAUGAUGAAGGGAAACAGGAACAGAGUUGUUGAUGGUAGUGUCUAAGAUGAUUUCUCAUGGGACAGCUACCAAAUGGGUCCUUCUGCAAACAGGAGGUUCCAAUUUUAGGCUGCAUACUAGUAUUAAAUAGGUAGUAUUAAUAACAAUAAAUACACUGUUUUGAAUAAAAUUUAGAUUGUUUCCAAGCUUCUGACUUUGGAGGCUUGGUUAUUUUUUGAGAAAAAGGUAGACAGAACAAGGAUAGCACAUACACUGCCAUGUUUUUCUUUAUUCCUGCUCAGUACAGAUUGGUGAGCAUUUCUGGUUGCACAUCCAAAACCAUCUCUUCUUUUCUGGAUGACAGAAUUCCAAACUGUUCGGGAGAUACGGUACACAACCCCAGGAUAUUCACUAGUGAUCGUUCUGAGAGUGAGGGGAAAUUAGAUAUAUGGAGAAUCUGAUAGGAGUAUCUGGAAAAGGUUUCCCUUCCUUGUCAGAGAGCCGUGUAAGAAGAAACCCAUUUUGCCCAGGCCCUUUCUUUAUGCCUUGUGUGGCAGCCAUCUUGCAGCCAGACUGGGAUUCAUUGCCAGCAAUCUGAGGAUAGCUGAGAGAAAGGAUGAGAGAAGUCUGGAUCUUUGAUAAAAAUGCUUAAUGGCUGCACAAACACCAGCAGUUCUUACCUCUAGACUUCUGAUUAGGUGAGAUAGUAAUUGCUAGUGUUGCUUAAACUGGUUUUAGUUAGAGGAUUUCGUUCUUCCAGUGGCAGGCCUUCUCACUGAUAGAUGUGGUGUUUGGUACCAUCUUUGGUUUUUGGAGAAGGCUGAGAUUUCAUUUCAGUAGACUUGUGUUGGAGUGUAGCAAGAUAGAACUGGGUCAGGAGGGUGUGGGUAUUCUGAAGCAUUCAGAUGGAGAAAAGGUCUGCAGGUGAGUGCAGGAUAAUUUCCAGGAAGCUCAGAGAUUCAAAGCCAAAAGAAAGCUUACAAUCCAAGUAUACCUAAGGCUGAGUCUGAAGGGUAAAAUGCAAAGAUCAGAAGUCCCCAGAUGGGAGAGCAGAGCAAGUGUAUGAGGCAAGUGUGAUAAUUAAGUGUAUUUUCAUGAAAAGGAUAGGGUGCCCAAGGCUGGUAGCACUGGAUGCUUUCCUACCCCUGAAUGAAUGUUUGAUCUUGACUUGAAAGCACAACUUCAGAGAAAUAAAUAAGUCCUUUUCUUAAUUUUUCCCUAACAUUUCAGCAUCUUUUAAAUUCUUCUUUCCGGGAGCUCUGCACUGCAGAAGGCCUCUUGUGUUAAGAAGUGGAUUUGGGCUGGGUGUGGUGGCUCAUGCCUGUAAUCCCAAUACUUUGAGAGGCCGAGGCAGGUGGAUCACAAAGUCAGGAGUUCAAGACUAGCCUGGCAAACAUAGUGAAACCCUGUCUCUACCAAAAAUCCAAAAUUAGCUGGGCAUGGUGGCGCGCACCUGUACUCCCAGUUACUCAGGAGGCUGAAGCAGGAGAAUCGCUUGAACCCAGGAGGUGGAGGUUGUGGUGAGCUGAGAUUGUACCACUGCAUUCCAGCCUGGGCAACAGAGCGAGACUCUGUCUCAAAAAAAAAAAAAAAAAAAAGUCAAUAUGUAGGUAUGUGAAUGAAAAGUUCUACUAUGUGAUUUUCUAAGAGUAGCUCCUAUUCUGAAAUCACCAGCCGAAUCAACAUUCUGUUUAGAAAAUGGAAAAAUAUGUUUAGGAAAUGUUUAUAUGUUGUGCCGCAAGUAGUCAAGUUAAGAAGCUUUCCCUGAGACCCUUUUAUGAGCUUGGUACUGGUCCAGUUACCAUUGUUCAGAAAUGACAGUGCAUAUUGUACAGGAACCUUAUAAAAUUUACACAGAAAAUCACAAAGGUACACUUUGUUUUUCUAUCAAGCUAGCUUUUCUCUCUAGAAGCAAUUUUUAUUUAUCAGAUUUGGCACCUGUUCCUCUAAUAUAUCAUUAUCUAUCUAUCUAUCUAUCUAUCUAUCUAUCUAUCUACCUAUCUAUCUAGUUUAUCUUAUAAUGAGUAGAUAUCAAAAAGGGGCUGGCUAGCCUUUCUAAAGACAAAGACAAGAAAAUUGACUUAGAAAAAAAAUUAAAAAUAUCUAUCCAAGUCAUUUGCUAAAGCCUCCUGGAAGAUCUGAUUUUAUGCAUUAGCUACUGUAUCAGGCAGGGUUUUUAAGUACAUGCAACAGUAAUCACUUUACCUAAUUUGAGCAGAAAAUUUAUUGAAAGAUUGAGUAGCUCUUAGAAUCUCUGAGAAGGCUAUAAGUGUUAGAAACUAGGUAGCCCAUAAUAAUACCCCAAAUCACACUGAAGGACUGGUCUAUUCUAGACACCACUGUACUCGUUUGGUCAUAGUCACCACAGUAUACUCUGCAGAUAUCAUCAGCACUGGUCCAUAACACUGCUUUUGAAAUUGUGGUGUAGCUUAUCUCUUGUGUAGCCUUACUAUAAAUGAUACUCUUUACAGAACAGACUCAUUCCUUCUCAAUUUUUUGCUUUACUAACGUAUAACUCAAAAUCUAACUCAAAAUCUCAAAUGGAUGUAUGCAAUUGGAGGAGAACGGAUAAUGUCCCUGAGCCUCAAUUGCAAGAAAGGCCAGAAAAGUGGGAAUCUGGAAUUUUCCUUUCUUUAGUAGGAAAUAAGGUAUCUCAUUAUAUGGAGAUUUCUCAAACUGGUGACUUAGGGAAACAUUUGGCAUUCUCUGCAGACAUAUCUUUUUUUUAAAUUGCUAUGCUUUGGCAGGCGAUGGAGGGUCAUGGGGUUUGCUACUGACAUCUAGUGGGUAGAGGCCAAGGAUGCUGCUAAACAUCCUAUAAUAUACAUGACAGUUUAUGACAACAAAGGAUUAUCUGGUCUGAAAUGUCAGUAGUGCCUCUGCUGGGAAACUCUGCUCUUAAAAGGACAAAUAGAGCCUCAGAUACAUGUGGCCAAUCACAGGUAUUGAAACAGUGGCCAAUUUUUUUUCUUCUUUAUUUGGUUUGUCUUUUCAGUUUCCAUCCUUUGCUGUGAUUCUCUUUCUCUAUCUUUUGUGAGAAAAGACAUACAAAAAGAAGAUGUAAUAGAUCCGCUUUCGCAUUUCUAUAAAGGAAUAUGUGAGGCUGGGUAAUUUAUAAAGAAAAGAGGUUUAUUAUGGAUCACGGUUCUGCAGGCCGUACAUGCAUAGCAGCAGCAGUUGCUCAGCUUCUGGUGAGGCUUCAGGAAGCUUCCAGUCAUGGUGGAAGGCAAACGGGGGCAGGUGUAUCACAUCGUGAGAGAGAGGGAGCAAGAUAGAGUGGUAGGGGAGGUCCUAGACUGUUUUUAACAACCACAUUUCAUGUAAAUUCAAGUGAGAACUCACUCAUUACCACCAGGAGGAACCAAAGUCAUUCAUGAGGAAUCUGCCCCCAUCACCCAAACACCUUCCUUCAGGCCCAACCUCUAACAUUGGGAACCACAUUUCAAGAUGAGAUUUGGAGGAAAGAUGUAUCUAAACCAUAUCAACUAUCAGCAAGGAAAUUUGUUCACCAAAGUCAAUAGUUUGCUUAAGAUAACAAAAAUAAUAAAUAACAGAAUCAUUACUAAAAACCCACAACCUACCUCAAGGCUCAUAAUGUUUCCACUCUGCCAUAUUGUUCUUCUGUAGCUCUCUGGGACCACAGGAAAUAUGUUUACAAAAUUGUUGUUAGGAUCUUUUUAGAAAGUCUAGAUGUGGCACACAAGAAAUGAGGAAUGAGUCCACAAUUACAUUUUCAUCGAUCAUCCUGAAACCAGCUGAAUACAUAGUGUAGUCAACCUGCAUGUUACCCCUCCAGAUGAAUUAGGAAUCUCUUAACCCCCUUGCAGGAGAACCGAAGCCAGUCUCUUACAUGGAACCAAGAGUAAAAUAUGUUGAAUUAACUGAAUAGCACUUUACUGUCUCUUCAGUCUUGGUAUGUAAAAGAGGAGGAUGCUAAGACUGCAGUAGCAUUCCUUAAUGGUGCUGUAGGGCUACUAUUUCCUCUAUUCUCCUUUCACUCACUAUUAUGCUGUAUCCACUAUCUACUGGGUCCCAAGGCAGCACUAUUUUCUGCUUGACACAUCACUGGGGGUAGAGAGGUAAAGAAUGUUCUUUCUCCUGCCUGAAAGAUUCUCUACAACUUGGAGAAAACUCCUGUAUGUCAACAGUUGCAAGGUCAAGAACAGGGAAUACAUUUAUAAUGACACAUUUUAGACCUGCCCACAGCAGCAAGCCUAGGAUCCUUUUGAAAUGUGUCAGUGUCAUGGUGUCAAUCAGCCUUGGGCUUUGACACUAGCUAUGACGUAUACAUAGUAUAGGGUAUUGUUCUGUAGCAACCAAGUUUGAGAGGCAGAAGCAAUUUUAAAAUCUCUCAGCCUCCAGGGGGCAUAUCUGAGCACUGACUUCAGAGACAAGGAAAGAGAAAACAUACAUUUUAGACAAGAGUAAGCCCUUCAUAUAUGGGGAAGGCUGCAGUGGAUUAGAAACACUGGAUCCUUUGAUAAGCUGCGAAUGUAUGAAUGCAAAGGUUAUGUUUCAGGAAAUGUAUUGCAGACUAUUAUUUAUAUCCUAAAUUAUAUAGCGGGUUAUUUCAGUUCUCAUAUGUUGAUGCAUUUAAUUAUCUAAAAAUCUAAUGAGAAGAUACUACACUACUUCCAUCUCUAUU
Molecule: long non-coding RNA, 5074 nt
Organism: Macaca fascicularis (crab-eating macaque)
Lineage: Eukaryota; Metazoa; Chordata; Mammalia; Primates; Cercopithecidae
Source: Ensembl